GAAGGAUCAUUAAAGAGUAAGGGUGCUCAGCGCCCGACCUCCAACCCUUUGUUGUUAAAACUACCUUGUUGCUUUGGCGGGACCGCUCGGUCUCGAGCCGCUGGGGAUUCGUCCCAGGCGAGCGCCCGCCAGAGUUAAACCAAACUCUUGUUAUUAAACCGGUCGUCUGAGUUAAAAUUUUGAAUAAAUCAAAACUUUCAACAACGGAUCUCUUGGUUCUCGCAUCGAUGAAGAACGCAGCGAAAUGCGAUAAGUAAUGUGAAUUGCAGAAUUCAGUGAAUCAUCGAAUCUUUGAACGCACAUUGCGCCCCUUGGUAUUCCGAGGGGCAUGCCUGUUCGAGCGUCAUUACACCACUCAAGCUAUGCUUGGUAUUGGGUGCCGUCCUUAGUUGGGCGCGCCUUAAAGACCUCGGCGAGGCCUCACCGGCUUUAGGCGUAGUAGAAUUUAUUCGAACGUCUGUCAAAGGAGAGGACUUCUGCCGACUGAAACCUUUUAUUUUUCUAGGUUGACCUCGGAUCAGGUAGGGAUACCCGCUGAACUUAA
RNAcentral lists this unclassified non-coding RNA (544 nucleotides) under Metschnikowia sp. JSKim-2014. Its description in RNAcentral is "partial contains 18S rRNA, ITS1, 5.8S rRNA, and ITS2". The stretch from base 193 to 346 matches the Rfam family "5.8S ribosomal RNA". The record is from RNAcentral. Lineage: Eukaryota; Fungi; Ascomycota; Pichiomycetes; Serinales; Metschnikowiaceae.